AUACAGAGGCCCCAAGCAUUAUCCGGAUUCACUGGGCGUAAAGGGUCCGUAGGCGGUGUUAUUAGUCGGGUGUUAAAUCCUGGGGCUCAACCCCAGACUCGCAUUCGAAACGGUAACACUAGAAGAAGUAAGAGGUGAGCAGAACUCUCGGUGUAGGGGUGAAAUCCGUUGAUAUCGAGGGGAAUACCAAAUGCGAAGGCAGCUCACUGGUACUUUCUUGACGCUGAGGGACGAAAGCAUGGGUAGCGAACGGGAUUAGAAACCCCAGUAGUCC
Molecule: ribosomal RNA, 274 nt
Filed under: uncultured bacterium
Lineage: Bacteria
Description: partial 16S ribosomal RNA
Rfam family: Bacterial small subunit ribosomal RNA
Source: RNAcentral